Molecule: ribosomal RNA, 465 nt
Filed under: Vreelandella stevensii
Lineage: Bacteria; Pseudomonadati; Pseudomonadota; Gammaproteobacteria; Oceanospirillales; Halomonadaceae
Description: partial 16S ribosomal RNA
Rfam family: Bacterial small subunit ribosomal RNA
Source: RNAcentral
CCUACGGGAGGCAGCAGUGGGGAAUAUUGGACAAUGGGGGGAACCCUGAUCCAGCCAUGCCGCGUGUGUGAAGAAGGCCCUCGGGUUGUAAAGCACUUUCAGUGAGGAAGAACGCCUGGUGGUUAAUACCCAUCAGGAAAGACAUCACUCACAGAAGAAGCACCGGCUAACUCCGUGCCAGCAGCCGCGGUAAUACGGAGGGUGCGAGCGUUAAUCGGAAUUACUGGGCGUAAAGCGCGCGUAGGUGGCUUGAUAAGCCGGUUGUGAAAGCCCCGGGCUCAACCUGGGAACGGCAUCCGGAACUGUCAAGCUAGAGUACAGGAGAGGAAGGUAGAAUUCCCGGUGUAGCGGUGAAAUGCGUAGAGAUCGGGAGGAAUACCAGUGGCGAAGGCGGCCUUCUGGACUGAAACUGACACUGAGGUGCGAAAGCGUGGGUAGCAAACAGGAUUAGAUACCCUAGUAGUC